ACUUACCUGUGAUCCCAGCUACUUGGGAGGCUGAUUCAGGAGGAUCACAAAUUCAAGACUGGCCUGGGAAACUUGGCGAGACCCUGCCUCAAGCCGGCCGUUGGGGCACCUGCAGUUCCAGAAUCCAGGAAGAACAGCUGGCCCUAAAGGUACACGGACCUGCCCUUGGGGGGGGUCUGGUAAAGUAGAGCAGGGAUCAGCAAACUGCAUGUCACAGGACACCUCUGGACCACCAUUUGUUCUUUUAAAUAAAGUUUUAUUGGAACACAGUCAUGCUGACUUGCUGA
Long non-coding RNA from Marmota monax (woodchuck), 287 nucleotides. RefSeq lists it as uncharacterized. The transcript has 2 exons. The record is from RefSeq and is a predicted model, not a curated record. NCBI's taxonomy places the organism in Eukaryota, Metazoa, Chordata, Mammalia, Rodentia, Sciuridae.